GGGUGCGAUCAUACCAACACUAAUGCAUCGGAUCCUAUGAGAACUGCACAGUUAAACGUGUUUGGAAGAUAUGUAGUAAGUUUCUAUAUACCAGCUCUGUGAGCAAAUUUUAGUAUGCAUCCA
Molecule: non-coding RNA, 123 nt
Organism: Cephalotus follicularis
Lineage: Eukaryota; Viridiplantae; Streptophyta; Magnoliopsida; Oxalidales; Cephalotaceae
Source: Rfam